UACGUAGGGGGCAAGCGUUGUCCGGAAUCAUUGGGCGUAAAGAGCGUGUAGGCGGCCCGAUAAGUCCGCUGUGAAAGUCCAGGGCUCAACCCUGGAAUGCCGGUGGAUACUGUCGGGCUCGAAUCCGGAAGAGGUGAGUGGAAUUCCUGGUGUAGCGGUGAAAUGCGCAGAUAUCAGGAGGAACACCAAUGGCGAAGGCAGCUCACUGGGACGGUAUUGACGCUGAGACGCGAAAGCGUGGGGAGCAAACGGG
RNAcentral lists this ribosomal RNA (253 nucleotides) under uncultured bacterium. RNAcentral describes it as "partial 16S ribosomal RNA". It matches the Rfam family "Bacterial small subunit ribosomal RNA", at positions 524 to 776 of the family's 1533-position model. The record is from RNAcentral.